This is an unclassified non-coding RNA of Otolemur garnettii (small-eared galago), 78 nucleotides long. It matches the Rfam family "Y RNA". Rfam says of the family: Y RNAs are components of the Ro ribonucleoprotein particle (Ro RNP), in association with Ro60 and La proteins. The Y RNAs and Ro60 and La proteins are well conserved, but the function of the Ro RNP is not known. In humans the RNA component can be one of four small RNAs -- hY1, hY3, hY4 and hY5. The record is from Ensembl. Lineage: Eukaryota; Metazoa; Chordata; Mammalia; Primates; Galagidae.
AGUUGGUCUGAAGCUUGUGGGUUAUCAUCAAUUGAUUUAACAUUGUCUCCCCCCAAAUCCAUGUUUGACUAACUUUAG